CACUGACAUUAGAUACCCGGGUAGUCCAGGGUGUAAACGCUGCAGACUUGGUGUUGGGGGCCCUUUGGGGGCAUUCAGUGCCGGAGAGAAGUUGUUAAGUCUGCUACUUGGGGAGUACGUCCGCAAGGAUGAAACUUAAAGGAAUUGGCGGGGGAGCACCGCAACGGGAGGAGCGUGCGGUUUAAUUGGAUUCAACACCGUAAACUCACCAGGGAAGACUGUUACAUGAAGGCCGAGAUGAAGACUCUGCUAGAUUUUC
This 259-nucleotide ribosomal RNA is filed under the name uncultured archaeon. RNAcentral's name for it is "partial 16S ribosomal RNA". It matches the Rfam family "Archaeal small subunit ribosomal RNA", at positions 722 to 980 of the family's 1478-position model. The record is from RNAcentral.